UCCCUAGUGGCUCAGAUGGUACAGCAUCUGCCUACUAUGUAGAAGACCGGGGUUCAAUCCCUAGAUUGGGAA
Molecule: transfer RNA, 72 nt
Filed under: Bos taurus (domestic cattle)
Lineage: Eukaryota; Metazoa; Chordata; Mammalia; Artiodactyla; Bovidae
Rfam family: tRNA
About the family: Transfer RNA (tRNA) molecules are approximately 80 nucleotides in length. Their secondary structure includes four short double-helical elements and three loops (D, anti-codon, and T loops). Further hydrogen bonds mediate the characteristic L-shaped molecular structure. tRNAs have two regions of fundamental functional importance: the anti-codon, which is responsible for specific mRNA codon recognition, and the 3' end, to which the tRNAs corresponding amino acid is attached (by aminoacyl-tRNA synthetases). tRNAs cope with the degeneracy of the genetic code in two manners: having more than one tRNA (with a specific anti-codon) for a particular amino acid; and 'wobble' base-pairing, i.e. permitting non-standard base-pairing at the 3rd anti-codon position.
Source: Rfam by way of RNAcentral